Molecule: ribosomal RNA, 465 nt
Filed under: uncultured bacterium
Lineage: Bacteria
Description: partial 16S ribosomal RNA
Rfam family: Bacterial small subunit ribosomal RNA
Source: RNAcentral
CUACGGGACGCAGCAGUGAGGAAUAUUGCGCAAUGGGGGAAACCCUGACGCAGCGACGCCGCGUGGAUGAUGAAGGCCUUCGGGUCGUAAAAUCCUGUCAGAAGGAAAGAAGUAUAUGGUAGCUAAUAUCUGCCAUAUUUGACGGUACCUUCAAAGGAAGCACCGGCUAACUCCGUGCCAGCAGCCGCGGUAAUACGGAGGGUGCAAGCGUUGUUCGGAAUUACUGGGCGUAAAGCGCGCGUAGGCGGCUGGUUAAGUCAGAUGUGAAAGCCCAUGGCUUAACCAUGGACGUGCAUUUGAUACUGGGCAGCUUGAGUACUGGAGGGGGUGGUGGAAUUCCCGGUGUAGAGGUGAAAUUCGUAGAUAUCGGGAGGAAUACCGGUGGCGAAGGCGACCACCUGGCCAGAUACUGACGCUGAGGUGCGAAAGCGUGGGGAGCAAACAGGAUUAGAUACCCCGGUAGUC